Stegodyphus mimosarum is the source of this 73-nucleotide non-coding RNA. Lineage: Eukaryota; Metazoa; Arthropoda; Arachnida; Araneae; Eresidae. The record is from Rfam.
GCCUUCGUGGUGUAGUGGUCAGCACGCUCGACGCGUAAUUGAGAGGUCCAUGGUUCGAAUCCCGGCGAGGGCA